RNAcentral lists this small RNA (166 nucleotides) under Paenibacillus larvae. RNAcentral's name for it is "c-di-AMP sequence". It matches the Rfam family "c-di-AMP riboswitch aptamer (ydaO/yuaA leader)". From Rfam's summary of the family: This family represents a conserved RNA structure found upstream of the ydaO and yuaA genes in Bacillus subtilis and related genes in other bacteria. The ydaO/yuaA element is thought to act as a genetic "off" switch for the ydaO and yuaA genes in its native state. The record is from RNAcentral. RNAcentral also lists the same sequence under 1 other name. Lineage: Bacteria; Bacillati; Bacillota; Bacilli; Caryophanales; Paenibacillaceae.
GCGUUUUAACCGCUGAAUUCCUGCAUGCAGGAAACGGGGGAACCAACCGGAUGGCAUAUCUAUGCCAUCCAUGGGGUGAAUCAUCGAUCAGCAGACUGGUUGAUGUAGGGCGACUCUCACGCCCGAAUCCGGCAGCUAACCUCGUAAGCGUUCCGAGAGAGGCGAC